This 1448-nucleotide ribosomal RNA is filed under the name uncultured bacterium. Its description in RNAcentral is "bacterial SSU rRNA". It matches the Rfam family "Bacterial small subunit ribosomal RNA". The record is from RNAcentral.
AGAGUUUGAUCAUGGCUCAGAACGAACGCUGGCGGCAUGCCUAACACAUGCAAGUCGAACGAAGUCUUCGGACUUAGUGGCGCACGGGUGAGUAACAUGUGGGAAUCUACCUAGAGGUUCGGAAUAACUACGGGAAACUGUAGCUAAUACCGGAUGUGUCUGCAAAGAGAAAGAUUUAUUGCCUUUAGAUGAGCCCGCACUAGAUUAGUUUGUUGGUAAGGUAAAAGCUUACCAAGACUACGAUCUAUAGCUGGUCUGAGAGGAUGAUCAGCCACACUGGGACUGAGACACGGCCCAGACUCCUACGGGAGGCAGCAGUGGGGAAUAUUGGACAAUGGGGGAAACCCUGAUCCAGCAAUGCCGCGUGAGUGAAGAAGGCCUUAGGGUUGUAAAACUCUUUCAUCAGUGAAGAUAAUGACGGUAACUGAAGAAGAAGCUCCGGCUAACUCCGUGCCAGCAGCCGCGGUAAUACGGAGGGGGCUAGCGUUGUUCGGAAUUACUGGGCGUAAAGCGCAUGUAGGCGGAUCAAAAAGUUAGAUGUGAAAUCCCUGGGCUUAACUUAGGAACUGCAUUUAAAACUAAUAACCUAGAAUUUGGUAGGGGAUAGUAGAAUUUCCAGUGUAGAGGUGAAAUUCGUAGAUAUUGGAAAGAACACCAGUGGCGAAGGCGGCUACCUGGCUCGAUAUUGACGCUGAGGUGCGAAAGCGUGGGUAGCGAACAGGAUUAGAUACCCUGGUAGUCCACGCAGUAAACGAUGAGUGCUAGUCGUUGGACCUUUUUGGUUCAGUGUCGUAGCUAACGCAUUAAGCUCUCCGCCUGGGGAGUACGGUCGCAAGAUUAAAACUCAAAUGAAUUGACGGGGGCCCGCACAAGCGGUGGAGCAUGUGGUUUAAUUCGAAGCAACGCGAAGAACCUUACCAGUCCUUGACAUGGUGUGUUUGAAUUACAGUAUCGUAAUUCUUCAGUUCGGCUGGCACACACACAGGUGCUGCAUGGCUGUCGUCAGCUCGUGUCGUGAGAUGUUGGGUUAAGUCCCGCAACGAGCGCAACCCUCAUUUUUAGUUGCCAUCAGGUUAAGCUGGGCACUCUAAAAAAACUGCCGGUGAUAAGCUGGAGGAAGGCGGGGAUGACGUCAAGUCCUCAUGGCCCUUACGGUCUGGGCUACACACGUGCUACAAUGGUGGUGACAGUGGGAAGCAAUUUCGCAAGAAAAAGCAAAUCCCCAAAAGCCAUCUCAGUUCGGAUUGGACUCUGCAACUCGAGUCCAUGAAGUUGGAAUCGCUAGUAAUCGUAGAUCAGCGUGCUACGGUGAAUACGUUCUCGGGCCUUGUACACACCGCCCGUCACGCCAUGGGAGUUGGUUUUACCUUAAGCCGGUGCGCUAACCGCAAGGAAGCAGCCGUCCACGGUAGGGUCAGCGACUGGGGCGAAGUCGUAACAAGGUAACC